AGGAGCUGCCUGGCUUGGACAUCAAGCCCUGGGCUGGGAAGUCUUGUCAGAGAUCAUGAGUCAUCUAUGUACUUUAUAGGGAACUGGGCUUUGCGAUCCCAAAUCACCCAUGUGGUGUAAACAGUGAAGCUAAAGGCAGGGAUGCUGGGGUGUUAGGGAGGCUGGCUGGGCGAGCAGAGCAGAAUGCUGAGUCAGUGGAUGGUGGCUGAUUUUGAUGAGUGUUGCGAAUUACUGGUUUGGCGCAGAACAUGAAAUGGCUUUGUACCAAAUCACUGGUGAGGAAAGAAAAACAAAACAACCAGGGCUGGCACCAACAGAGACCCCAACUGGCUUAGAGAGAACGACAGUGUCUGCGAGCUGCUGCUCAGAGCCUGGAGGUCUUGUGGAGUGUCACCAAGGCUUCUUGAGGACCGUGGAGCUGAUGGGCUUUUCCUCAAGGGGGGGGGGUGAUGGUUGUUCUUGUGGCUCAGUUACUACUGCCCUGUCCACCCCGGCGGAUACAGCUCGUUUCUCAGAUGGGACAACAGAAGCGAGAGGUCUGUGGGGUUGUGUGAUCAUGAGCGUGUAAGGGAAUUGGAGUGAAGGUAUUUUCCCCGAUUAUUCUGGAAGGACAGACCUGACUGAUGGUGGCUGGAAGCUGCACUUUGCGUGCAGGCUGAUGUGGAAGGAAGAGAAGCGGCUGGAAAACUCUGCAAACUGAUUAUUAAUUCAGAAGGAGCUCAGGUUGAUCUUUGGAAACUGACCGUUGACCACUGUCUUGCAUUUACCUGGGUUAUUGCACUGCUGCUUUAUGGAUCUGUAAGAAGUCAAGGGGAGAAGGAUGAACAGACCUCUGCAGUUAGAAAUUAUUUAUACUAGAAAAUCUCACGAAGCACUUUGCGAUUCAAGCAGAUGAUGCGAUUCCUGAUCCCCAUCUGUGCCUGGAGACCCGUUUCAGUAGACUGUGACACUUCAGCGACCUGCAAAUUCUACACGUUAGAGUUCAUAUUUUACACAAACUCCGUACACCCAAGAGGUGGACUCGCAUUCCUACCAGCAACAUCCGCCUUCCAACAGAAGAUACGGGUCCUACAGAAGGCAAAAGCUGUUGGGGAAGAUGUACUACAAAUGGCCACAUCUGUGCCCUGUGUCACUGCAAUUCCAUUUCAAAGGGAUGGAGUAGGAGAAGAAAGGAACUUGGGGACUACGGGAUUAAGCCUUGAAAAUGGCUGGGCACCUUUGAUGCGUGGUGUCCUACCAAGCACAGACUUUCUUUACUCUGUGUGCGAUUGCCGGUGACAUUUGCUGCUCUGCAGCUCACGGCUCCUUGGCAGAGGCUUUGGAGAAGGCCACUUCAGCAAGGGGAACAGCUGGCAAUCACAAGGCAGGGUGGGCGGGUUCAGACCGGCCACGGUCUCAGGGUAUGUGGCAAUCAUCUUUCUUCUGCAGCUGAGCUGGAAAUUAGAGGCUGUAUUCAGCCCCAUGUGGGAGAAAGGGAAUUUUUACUAGAGGGCAUGGCCUUUUGAGUCAGGGGGAGAAAGCAUCUUCUGCCUGCUGGGGCAGGGAACAGAGGUGAGUCAGAACAGCUUGUGGAGAGUGGUAUUCCCCACUGGGGGUCACAGGGCCACUUGUAAAAUGAUGCCUAGGUGUUGCUGUACAGCCAAGGUCCUCAACUUUGGCUGCAUAUUGAAAUCAUGUGGGGAGCUUUUAUAGUCCUGCUGCCCUGGCCCCACCUCUGAUCACUGUAUUAGACUCUCUGGGGUGGGUGACACUCAGGCUGAGGUAGUUUUUUUUUUUCCGGUACCGGAAAUCGAACUCAUGACCUCGCUCUUGCCAGGCAGGCGCUGUGCCGCUGAGCUAAAUCCCCAGCCCCCGGCUGAGGAGGUUUUUAAGGGCCCCCACGUAAUUCCAGUGGGCACCCGAGCUUCAGAUCCACUGAUCUAGGCCCUCAUUCAUCAGUGUAGUCUGAAGCCCAGCAGUACCAUAUCACCCAGCAAUUGUUAGACCCACAGAGUCUCAGGCCCCACCCAAGAUCUUCUGUGUCAGUUUCUAGCAAGAUCCAUGAGAAAUUUGAUGUACAUUAAAGUGUGAGGAGCUAUAGUUUUCAAAUUUUGCUGCACAUUAAAAAUCACCUGGAGAACUUUAAAAACUCGCACUGCCCAGACCACACCUAAUACCAAUUAAUCAGAAUUUCCAAGUGUGGGACACAAGCACCGGUAGGUUUUUACAGGUGAUUCCAGUGUGCAUGGAUUUUCAGCACUGGCUAUGAAUUAGAAUCACCUUGGGAACUUUUAAAUGCCUUGAUACCUGAACUCCACUUAGAGAUUUUGAUUUAAUUGGUCUGGGAGAGGCAGCAAAAAGAUUCCUAGGUAUUCAAAUGUGCAGGCAGCUGGAACUCCUGUUUCAGAAAGUUGGUUCAGUAUCACUGAAAGCAAAACCAACUGACAAACCUUAAACAGGUCCAUGGGGCCAAGGACAAACAGCUGAAGUAGCAACCGGACCAUCGCUGGACCUUACCUGGUCUCAGGGCUUUGAUAGUCAACCUCCUUACAUGGGAUUCCUACUAUUCUUUUGUUCUGCAUAUGGAUUCAAAUGUUUGUAUGUUCCUUUGGUUUUCUAAUAAAGUUCCUCUUGAAAAACUUAAUGUCACAGCAGCUGACUUAAAGGACAAAAUCCCUGGUUUCCACCUAGGCCAU
This is a long non-coding RNA of Chinchilla lanigera (long-tailed chinchilla), 2675 nucleotides long. Ensembl lists it as uncharacterized. Lineage: Eukaryota; Metazoa; Chordata; Mammalia; Rodentia; Chinchillidae. The record is from Ensembl.